RNAcentral lists this unclassified non-coding RNA (330 nucleotides) under soil metagenome. RNAcentral's name for it is "partial contains 5.8S ribosomal RNA, internal transcribed spacer 2, and large subunit ribosomal RNA". The stretch from base 1 to 119 matches the Rfam family "5.8S ribosomal RNA", at positions 35 to 154 of the family's 154-position model. The record is from RNAcentral.
GAUGAAGAACGUAGUGAAUGCGAUAAGUAAUGUGAAUUGCAGAAUUCAGUGAAUCAUCGAAUCUUUGAACGCACAUUGCGCCCCCUGGUAUUCCGGGGGGCAUGCCUGUUCGAGCGUCAUUUCACCACUCAAGCCUCGCUUGGUAUUGGGCAACGCGGUCCGCCGCGUGCCUCAAAUCGACCGGCUGGGUCUUCUGUCCCCUAAGCGUUGUGGAAACUAUUCGCUAAAGGGUGUUCGGGAGGCUACGCCGUAAAACAACCCCAUUUCUAAGGUUGACCUCGGAUCAGGUAGGGAUACCCGCUGAACUUAAGCAUAUCAAUAAGCGGAGGA